UACGUAGGGGGCAAGCGUUGUCCGGAUUUAUUGGGCGUAAAGAGCUCGUAGGUGGUUCGGUAAGUCGGAUGUGAAAUCUCCAGGCUCAACUUGGAGCGGUCAUUCGAUACUGCCGUGACUAGAGUUCGGUAGGGGAGUGUGGAAUUCCUGGUGGAGCGGUGAAAUGCGUAGAUAUCAGGAGGAACACCGGUGGCGAAGGCGGCUUUCUGGACAGAUACCGACGCUGAGGCACGAAAGCUAGGGGAGCAAACGGG
Molecule: ribosomal RNA, 254 nt
Filed under: uncultured bacterium
Lineage: Bacteria
Description: partial 16S ribosomal RNA
Rfam family: Bacterial small subunit ribosomal RNA
Source: RNAcentral